This 414-nucleotide ribosomal RNA is filed under the name uncultured bacterium. RNAcentral describes it as "bacterial SSU rRNA". It matches the Rfam family "Bacterial small subunit ribosomal RNA", at positions 355 to 766 of the family's 1533-position model. The record is from RNAcentral.
UAAGGAAUAUUGGUCAAUGGACGCAAGUCUGAACCAGCCAUGCCGCGUGGAGGAUGACGGUCCUCUGGAUUGUAAACUUCUUUUAUUUGGGAAGAAAACCUCUGAUUAUUCGGAGCUUGACGGUACCAGAUGAAUAAGCACCGGCUAACUCCGUGCCAGCAGCCGCGGUAAUACGGAGGGUGCAAGCGUUAUCCGGAUUCACUGGGUUUAAAGGGUGCGUAGGCGGAUAGGUAAGUCCGUGGUGAAAUCUCUCGACUUAAUCGGGAAACUGCCAUGGAUACUAUUUACCUUGAAUGUUGUGGAGGUUAACGGAAUAUGUCCUUUAGCGGUGAAAUGCUUAGAUAUGACAUGGAACACCAAUUGCGAAGGCAGUUAACUACACAAAUAUUGACGCUGAUGCACGAAAGCGUGGGG